RNAcentral lists this long non-coding RNA (219 nucleotides) under Olea europaea (common olive). Its description in RNAcentral is "long non-coding RNA (OEUR_LNC004943)". The record is from RNAcentral. Lineage: Eukaryota; Viridiplantae; Streptophyta; Magnoliopsida; Lamiales; Oleaceae.
ACCGCGCCUAGGCGCUCAUUAGCGGUCAACAAUUGCUCUUGACCGCUAAAUAAAACACCAAGCCACUUGGUUUGGCAUUUCCGUCGCGCAAAGCACAUUGGUGGCGGUGUGCCAAUGCACGCAUUUUAGAACAAUGACAUUUAGAAUGCUAUAAAAAGUGGCCAACAGGUCCUCUCUCCACUCAUUAAAUUUUGUACGCCGCCGCCAAUGCGCACCUUU